RNAcentral lists this long non-coding RNA (318 nucleotides) under Nicotiana benthamiana. RNAcentral's name for it is "long non-coding RNA (NBEN_LNC011306)". Lineage: Eukaryota; Viridiplantae; Streptophyta; Magnoliopsida; Solanales; Solanaceae. The record is from RNAcentral.
CUUUCUCGACGGCUUCUUGCUUCUUCUUUGCAAUCUUACUCGGCUUGCUUCUACCUUUUGUUUUCUUCUUCAUAGGCAUACUUUUAGCUUCCUCAAUAGCAGCUUCCAUUUCAGCUUCUCUAUCCUCCUUCGUUGGCGGUUGCUUCUUUCUUGUUGACCUCACUGUACCAAUCUUUGAGGGAUCUAACAUGAUAGUCUCUGGAGGAAUUAUCCUCCUUUGUAGGCUGUUCCUUCUUUCUUGCUGACCUCACUGUACCAAUCUUUGUAGGAUCUAACAUGAUAGUCUCUGGAGGAAGCUUAUCAAGAAGAGAGCGGACU